Arachis ipaensis is the source of this 2311-nucleotide non-coding RNA. Lineage: Eukaryota; Viridiplantae; Streptophyta; Magnoliopsida; Fabales; Fabaceae. The record is from RefSeq and is a predicted model, not a curated record.
AAUGCUUUUGCAGCAUGACUUAAUUUAAGUGUUGAUGACUUUAGAGUAGUAUACUAGUGUGAGAUGCAUAUGACUCAAUGUACAUUGUGUUUCUUGGGGUGACAGAGGGAUGGGGAGGAAAAGAUUUUUAUACUGCUAUAUUUUUUACUUUGUAGGGUGAUGCAUUAUAAUUCUUAAUUUCUUAUAGCAGUAUACCUAUAUGCAAGUAAUAUGCUUGUUGAGAUUGUAAGGAUCGAUUUCUCGCGACGUUAGUUCACAAACUGGAAACCUCACAUAGAUGAAUUGAUAUUACUUUAUAUGUAAGAAAAUGUGGUGUGAAUUUCAAUAUGAGACUCAGUUAUGUUGAGUAUGUUCAGGGUUUAUAUGCUGCAUACAUUGACUGCUAACUCUAUACAUCAGUAACUACUCAUAGCUAAAUUACACUUUACAUAGCUCGUACUAAAUCUGGGCUACCGGCAGCUAUUAAGCUCCUGAUAAUUUAGCAAUUACCCCUUUGGAUUCUUAAGUUUGGGCCUCGUGUGUUAAUAACUUUGGGAUAUCCAUUUUCUGUCAUAAUAGAACCAACUGGUACGUAUUUCCUUUCUUUUUCUCACCUAAGAGUAACAUGUGGCUGUUUAUAUAUGCAUUAUUUGAAAUUUUAACCUUUUUCGGCAUUCACUUUCCACAAUUCGGGGCUCUCACUCACAACAUUAGGAACAUGCACAAUCCCUUGCAUGUGAUCUAAAAGUUGCUGUCAUUUUCUCAUUAAGAUAUGCUGAAUGGAUUUCUUGUUUUUAUUUAAGUUACCUUAGCUUAUAUCAUGGAUACAAGGACGUUAUGAGUUUUUACCGCAUGUGUAUAUGUUUCAAAUGGACUUUUACUUAGUCUUUGCCCUACGUUUUCUCUGACCUGUUUGGGAAAAAUUGCAAUGCAGAAAGCAGAGGCAGGAAACGAAAGAGUGAAACUCCAAUUAAGGAAAAACCAGAGGUCCCUCCUGACAAGCUUGUCAGCAUUCAGAUUCCACCAACUCUAAGGAAGCAAUUAGUUGAUGAUUGUGAAUUUAUCACCCAUCUGGGCAAGCUUGUUAAACUUCCUCGCACCCCUAAUGUGAAUGACAUAAUGAAGAAUUAUUUUGAUUACAGAUUGAAGAAAUGUGGCUUCUUGUAGGCAUUAAUUAAAAUUGAAAGGAAGGGGGUCCAUAAAGGUUGAAGUUAAAAGGAAAACAGAACUGGGUCCUAAUGCAUUUCCCCAUCAGCAAUCAGCAGGUGGCUUCCUAACGUGCCAUUCCUUCCAGUUCACGAGAGUUUGGGUUUGAGAGCCUCUAGGUGUGGCAAGCAAGUAUGGCAGCUGGCUGAGGUUGGAGAGACCAUGGAAGGGCAGGCGACUCCGACGGGGAAGACUUUUUUCUAGCCCUGGUUGCAGCACACUUCUUUUGCCUGUUUUAGGAGGUAGUGUAUUUUAAUUUAUUUUAUGGAGAAUUCCAAAAACAUAACUAAUUUUGCCAUGAAAGAACAAUAAUUCCUUCAGAAUGGUUGCACAAGCUAAGGUUGAUAUACAACAUCUUCUAUUUAUCACUUGGAGUGGGUUUUUUCCCCUUCUUGGUAAUUUUUUUUUCUAAUUAAUCUGUUGUCCUUCUUCAGACUUUGUGUUGUUCUUAUUAUUAUUAGCAACACCAGGAUAUACUUUAAUUUGUUCAUUUUAUUAGUUACAUCUUUUUCUUACAAAGUAUGCUAUUAUUAAUUAUUACUACUAUAUAUAUAAACUGUACUUGUUUUGUUCUUCAUAUAAAUUAAAUAAUCCAAAUGUAGAAGAAGCUGGAGUCCUCUUUUAAAACAAACUAAUAAGGAAUUAAUUAUGGGGCUGAUUUAAAAGUGAUUUUGUACUUGUGUCUGAAUUUUCUUAUGUUCCCAUUCUAGUAUUAUUAUUAUUGUGGAUGAAAAAAUUUCCACUUAAAUGAUGAGAAAAUUUUCUUAUGUUCCCGUUCCAGUAUUAUUAAUUUAUUAUAGUGUUAAAUGUUUGGAGCCACUUGAGGAGAGAUAAUUGUUUCAUUUCAUCUCAUGAUGAACAUGUGAAUAAUUACUAAGAAAAAAGUAUAUAUAUCAUGGCACUAUUGUCUUCAACAUUGCUGGUUUUUGAAGUUUUGCUUUGUUUUCUCGAGUCAAACAAAAUGGCAAAAUAUAGUAACACAUUGACCAACUCAUUCUUCUUAUAAAUAAUCUCUCUCUUCUAUCGUCUCAAGAUGUGACUGAGGAUUGGGAUCCAAAUUAAGGAACAUACGGAAAAAAAAAAUUACUCAAGUCUAAGUCUAUUUUUACAUUAGUCAAUAUAAAAA